Molecule: long non-coding RNA, 1288 nt
Organism: Astatotilapia calliptera (eastern happy)
Lineage: Eukaryota; Metazoa; Chordata; Actinopteri; Cichliformes; Cichlidae
Source: Ensembl
AGACAUGUGAAACCAAGAGGCCGUUUGAAGCCUACAGCUCACCCCGCCUACACGUGUCUGUGCUAAAGGAGAAAUCUUGAAGCAUCUGGAUAAAAUCCAGUCCAGGAUGUUGCUAUGAGGCACUGUACCUCUGCCUGCCUAUUAGUCUCAACUACAGUUCACUGAAGAAGUAGGUUAAAGUGUCGGAGAACACCGGUGAUGAUGGUGCAACAAAAUCUUUCACAUAUAAAAAUUAGAGCUUUAACAGCUUAGGUCUCCAGGUGGAGAAAUACUUCAUUUUGUUGAAAUGAUAUUCCAACAGGCCGAGGCAAGUUAUACAUGAUGUCGAAGAGCAUCACACUAACCAGCAGCUGGAGAAUGAACAAGCUUGCAGUUUAUGUGAUCAAUUAGCUUCUCUGCAACAAAAGCUGUUGAUACUUUUAUACGCAGCUUUUUAAAGAAAACACAUUGUCCACACUAUUGGCAGUGUUUAUAGAAAGUGUGAUAAAUAGUUCCAAGCACUAACAAUAUUGCACUACUUCUUAAAAUAUAACCACAGACACAACAGCAUGACAGAAGCUGAUACUUCUCAUUCACAUUAAUGUAUAUGAAAACUCUGUGGAGUUUAAUGUGUGUUAACAUACUGGAUGGAGUUUUCUUCAUUAUUGAUAUAGUAAAAGAACAUGUAAGAAGGAGUAUUCAAAGGCUGAGGAAUCAUACCUCUAAAUGUAAACCCUUUGAUCUAAGUAGAAUAAGUGCAUCUUCAUCACUCUUCAGACUCCACUCACUAAAACCUCUGUUUGGCAUCAAAACUGAAGCCUGACUGGUCAAAUCAUGCAUUCAUUAAUAUCAACACUCAGCUCAGUUUAAACUGUUUUUGUGCUCCAGGUAACAAACUUAAGCAUCACGUGUUUAAUGUUUAACCUGAAAACAAUGGGUGUGUAAUUUUUAGGUAUUCCUAAGCUUCUACCAGGCGACACUUGACACCUCUGUAAACACAGAAGCUUUAAAAUCAAGGAGUCCUAUCUUUGUUUAAUUGUUUGCACACCAGGCAACCCAUCAGAUAAAGUAGAGCACGACUUGAGUUGAAACGACCUCACACUUCAUAUUUGCAUGUAUUUGAUCCAAGAGAAGCCACAGAACAGGUUAUGUAAUGCUUAUGAAGUACAGCUUUCCUCCCAGCCAGGGUUGUGUUUCACUAUUGUCAAGCAGAUAAAGGUAGCUUACAGUCAGUGGUAUUAAUGAGCACACUGUUGAAAUCAUGUUUAAAUAAACUUUAUAUGUGCAUAUGUUUUCUAGAGAAAUGAAA